Molecule: long non-coding RNA, 308 nt
Organism: Xyrauchen texanus (razorback sucker)
Lineage: Eukaryota; Metazoa; Chordata; Actinopteri; Cypriniformes; Catostomidae
Exons: 3
Source: RefSeq, a predicted model, not a curated record
GGACAAUGUUGAAGACAUUUGCUCGCACUGGGCAAUCGGGUGCAGAUCAAACCCUAAUGCUGCGACGUCUUGGAGUUUGGCGAUGUUGUGCGUAGCAUGGACAACAAAAUGCUAUGCUGCAACAUUUCAGUGCCAAUGUGUCUGUUGGAGAGUUAUCCCUGCCAGGGGAUCUGUUACUCCCCCCUAGACACCCAGGAAGAUUUGGUGUUGCUUGACAACAGUUUGAGGCAGGAUAAAGAGCUCCAGCAACGAUUUCUUCGGUUUUUGGCAAUCAAAUGUGGGAGGGACCUAAAGACAACCGUGUGGCG